GACGAACGCUGGCGGCGUGCUUAACACAUGCAAGUCGAACGGAAAGGCCCUGCUUUUGUGGGGUGCUCGAGUGGCGAACGGGUGAGUAACACGUGAGUAACCUGCCCUUGACUUUGGGAUAACUUCCGGAAACUGGGGCUAAUACCGGAUAGGAGCUCCUGCUGCAUGGUGGGGGUUGGAAAGUUUCGGCGGUUGGGGAUGGACUCGCGGCUUAUCAGCUUGUUGGUGGGGUAGUGGCUUACCAAGGCUUUGACGGGUAGCCGGCCUGAGAGGGUGACCGGCCACAUUGGGACUGAGAUACGGCCCAGACUCCUACGGGGGGCAGCAGUGGGGAAUAUUGCACUAUGGGCGGAAGCCUGAUGCAGCAACGCCGCGUGCGGGAUGACGGCCUUCGGGUUGUAAACCGCUUUCGCCUGUGACGAAGCGUGAGUGACGGUAAUGGGUAAAGAAGCACCGGCUAACUACGUG
RNAcentral lists this ribosomal RNA (468 nucleotides) under uncultured bacterium. Its description in RNAcentral is "partial 16S ribosomal RNA". It matches the Rfam family "Bacterial small subunit ribosomal RNA", at positions 28 to 507 of the family's 1533-position model. The record is from RNAcentral.